This 28-nucleotide non-coding RNA is filed under the name Rattus norvegicus (Norway rat). The record is from RNAcentral. Lineage: Eukaryota; Metazoa; Chordata; Mammalia; Rodentia; Muridae.
UGGGAACCGUGGUGAUCUGAGAAUAGGG